Long non-coding RNA from Mastomys coucha (southern multimammate mouse), 720 nucleotides. RefSeq lists it as uncharacterized. The transcript is spliced from 4 exons. The record is from RefSeq and is a predicted model, not a curated record. Lineage: Eukaryota; Metazoa; Chordata; Mammalia; Rodentia; Muridae.
GGGAAAUGAGAAGCAGGACUUGUCAGGGAGCAAGAGGGAGUUGAAUUCAGGAGGAGAGCGCACUGGUUCUAACGAUGGAUUUUAAGGUUCAUCAUUUCGGCUCCUCGCUUCCUCUGUUCCCAUUUUUCUUCCUACUGUAUGGGUGGUGAGCUAUGACUGUCAACUUGACAUAGACUAUAGUCCUCUGACAGCAGAGAUUUACUGAAGGAACUGCAUAGAUCAGAUUGUUUUCUGGCAUGUCUUGAAUGUCAAUUCUAAGAUACCAUUGAAAGAACUCGGAGCAUCGAUCAAGUAGAACAGUUUUCCAGUGAUUAAAGCAUCAAUGAAGAUAAUUCUCAAUUCUUCCUCAGAUGGCCUAGGUAAACAUUAUUCUGUUCACUGUGUGCAAUCAACUGUUUUAAACUAUACAUGGCUGGCCAUUUAGGUAUUAUUGUAUGUCUCCUAGUGAUGUCAGAAGCUACAUGGGUAAUUUUGACACACAUGACUUCCUUAAAUGAACUGAAGAAGGCCAACAACAUGCAUGCUAAAUAGAUAGGAAAGCGUACAAGCAAAAAAAGGACCACAGGCAACUAAGGAAUACUGAGAGAGGAAAAAGCUGUCUUCCCCAGAGAAGAACACAGAAACUGGAAGGAUCAUUUUUUUAAGUUUUGCCUUUCAAACUCAGAGGAGAUCGUCCUACUUUCUUUCUUUGUACUUGUAAUUAUAAGAAAAUGAUACCUC